Long non-coding RNA from Oreochromis niloticus (Nile tilapia), 339 nucleotides. RefSeq lists it as uncharacterized. The record is from RefSeq and is a predicted model, not a curated record. The transcript has 3 exons. Lineage: Eukaryota; Metazoa; Chordata; Actinopteri; Cichliformes; Cichlidae.
UGUUUAUUUCAGAGUCAUCUGCUUAGUGUAAGUCGAACAUGAAACAUCGCGUCAACAAAUGACUGGGAAUGUGUAACUAAAGCUAGCGUGGGUGCAAGACAAGAAAACACGGAGUUGGCUAACUUCCCAGCUAGCUUCCGGAUAUUUCAGCUGUCUCGUUACUGUCGCGCACCACCAGGGCUGGAGUAGUAAAUGUAUUUCAGCAAGUUCAAGAGGCAAGAAAAGAUAGGAGGAAAUAACAAGAUGACGGGAAAUGAGGAGCACACAACAAAGGUCAGAGGCCAAACACAAACAGAGGAAGGCACCAGCAUCUUAACCCCUAAACCACCAGGAUGUCCC